CGGGCGGGCUGGGAUUGGCGGGCCCGGCGCUGCCUCGGGCUGUGAUUGGCUGGGCUGGCCGGUGUGGGCUAUAAAUAGCGUGAGCUGGAGGGGUGCGGGCCUUAGUUCGGCGGCGAGCGGUGGAGAGGCGGCGGCGGCGGGCGGCGGCGUGAGCGGUCCAGGGAGCACCGGUGCGCAGGACAGGAGCACUGCGCUCACUGAACUGGGGAGCGCCGGUGAUUUCCAGGAGCAAAAAAGAGGUGAUAGUCAAGGUGCUUGUGAACUGGUGUUAAAAGACAAAUUCUUCAUUGUCAAUCCAGCUACCAUCCUUGUUCAGUUAAACUCUGCAACAGAUCUCCCACAAAGUUGUGUCCUGCUGUUGCUGCUUCUGAAGGAUCAUGGAAUCACACAAUGGUUUGAGUUGGAAGUGACUUUAAAGCUCAUCUCAUUCCACCCUUGCCAUGAGGAGGGACACCUUCACUAGACCAGGUUGCUUCGUCCUGGCCUUGAACACUUCUAGGGAUGGAGCACUUCCACGAUGGCUGUUUGACUUCCUUUCCC
Non-coding RNA from Cyanistes caeruleus (blue tit), 540 nucleotides. Lineage: Eukaryota; Metazoa; Chordata; Aves; Passeriformes; Paridae. The record is from RefSeq and is a predicted model, not a curated record.